This 280-nucleotide signal recognition particle RNA is filed under the name Candidatus Altarchaeales archaeon. RNAcentral describes it as "signal recognition particle sRNA". It matches the Rfam family "Archaeal signal recognition particle RNA". Lineage: Archaea; Nanobdellati; Candidatus Altarchaeota; Candidatus Altarchaeia; Candidatus Altarchaeales. The record is from RNAcentral.
UGGCGGGCUAGACUGGGCUGUUGGGCGUAGCCUAUAACCCCAAAUCGCCCUCACGGGGGAGUUGAAUACCUACGGGGCGGGCUCAUAACAUGAUGUGGGGGCCCAUCACGUCUUGCCGACCUCCUGCCCCACUUGGCUCAUUAUUCUAGGAACCGGGUCAGGCCCUGACGGGAGCAGCCCUAACUAAAAUACAUGGGUGCUGGUGGAUUUUGCGGGAGCGAGAGACGCGACGGGAGUAACCCACACGUCAUUUAUGGACUCCACCCGUAGGUGCCCGCCA